CCCAGAGGUAUUGAUUGGUGCGAUUUCAGUACAUUUGUGACUGAAGCCAAUGUUUACACCGACCUACGCGGAUGCGUAGGUUUUUUUU
RNAcentral lists this small RNA (88 nucleotides) under Hafnia alvei. RNAcentral's name for it is "OmrA-B family". It matches the Rfam family "OmrA-B family". Lineage: Bacteria; Pseudomonadati; Pseudomonadota; Gammaproteobacteria; Enterobacterales; Hafniaceae. RNAcentral also lists the same sequence under 1 other name. The record is from RNAcentral.